UCGAGUCGGCCUGCGCGGAAGAUGUAACGGGGCUAAACCAUGCACCGAAGCUGCGGCAGCGACACUGUGUGUUGUUGGGUAGGGGAGCGUUCUGUAAGCCUGUGAAGGUGUGCUGUGAGGCAUGCUGGAGGUAUCAGAAGUGCGAAUGCUGACAUAAGUAACGAUAAAGCGGGUGAAAAGCCCGCUCGCCGGAAGACCAAGGGUUCCUGUCCAA
This 214-nucleotide ribosomal RNA is filed under the name Escherichia coli. Its description in RNAcentral is "partial 23S ribosomal RNA". It matches the Rfam family "Bacterial large subunit ribosomal RNA", at positions 1149 to 1362 of the family's 2925-position model. Lineage: Bacteria; Pseudomonadati; Pseudomonadota; Gammaproteobacteria; Enterobacterales; Enterobacteriaceae. The record is from RNAcentral.